Molecule: long non-coding RNA, 536 nt
Organism: Micropterus dolomieu (smallmouth bass)
Lineage: Eukaryota; Metazoa; Chordata; Actinopteri; Centrarchiformes; Centrarchidae
Exons: 3
Source: RefSeq, a predicted model, not a curated record
GAUCUCUCUGUAGGCAUUGAGUGGCUAGUGAGCGGGUAUUUUAAGCCACCUGUCGUCCAGACCUCAUCAGCUGAAUAGCCUGUUGUGCUAAAGUUCACCACAGAGAAGGCAGUAGUUGUUAACCCUGAGAUUUGUUACAGGUGGAUGGGCCCCUGUGAAUGUGUUUGCUGUCUAAGGGUGUGGCUCUUCCCUUUUUUGGCUAUACAAUUGCCCUCAGCUUGUUGGCCAUUUCUUCCCCUUUUAGUGUUCUGCCAGACGGACAGGGUGGUGGAUUGUGGGAACCCCUUUCCCCUUCACUGCAUGUAGUGGUGUGUAUGACAGCUGUGUGCGUAUGCUUAACUUAGUUUUAUUGUGUGGCGUUUGUGUGUAUCUUGCUGUGUUUAGGUGGCUGCGCCCCAGUGUGAGUGGUGGUGUCAAGGCACCUGGGUGGCCCACAUGUAACCCCCCUACAGGUCUGGCUCCUGUAGAUGCUGAGGUGUCUUUAACCGUGUGCUUUUAUCCCUUAGCAUUUCUGUCAGUAAUGGCAUCUACAUCCC